AUUGAACGCUGGCGGCAUGCUUUACACAUGCAAGUCGAACGGUAACAGGCCGCAAGGUGCUGACGAGUGGCGAACGGGUGAGUAAUGCAUCGGAACGUGCCCAGUCGUGGGGGAUAACUACUCGAAAGAGUAGCUAAUACCGCAUACGAUCUAUGGAUGAAAGCGGGGGACCGUAAGGCCUCGCGCGAUUGGAGCGGCCGAUGUCAGAUUAGGUAGUUGGUGGGGUAAAGGCUCACCAAGCCAACGAUCUGUAGCUGGUCUGAGAGGACGACCAGCCACACUGGAACUGGGACACGGCCCGGACUCCUACGGGAGGCAGCAGUGGGGAAUUUUGGACAAUGGGCGCAAGCCUGAUCCAGCAAUGCCGCGUGCAGGAAGAAGGCCUUCGGGUUGUAAACUGCUUUUGUACGGAACGAAACGGCUCUGGUUAAUACCCGGGGCUAAUGACGGUACCGUAAGAAUAAGCACCGGCUAACUACGU
RNAcentral lists this ribosomal RNA (481 nucleotides) under uncultured bacterium. Its description in RNAcentral is "partial 16S ribosomal RNA". It matches the Rfam family "Bacterial small subunit ribosomal RNA", at positions 30 to 506 of the family's 1533-position model. The record is from RNAcentral.